UGAAGGCAACUCGAACUCAAUGCAGCAACAAUUAACAUGCUGACUUCACUGGAACUCAACAGGAGAGAAGAGAGGAGUACUGAGAGCAGGCUGUCAUGAAGAUUGUGCAAACUUUGUAAAGCUGAGAUAAAAUAUGUCCGAGGAGGAGGACUCUUUUUCAUAAGCCAAUUUGGGAGCUUGGGGACGUCGCAGAUAAUAACAGCUUAAUCAUUAAAAGCAUGCUUCAGGGAACACCAAUCAGCUGUUCUGAACCAGUGAAGCUCCAGCUUCUC
This is a long non-coding RNA of Notolabrus celidotus (New Zealand spotty), 272 nucleotides long. RefSeq lists it as uncharacterized. The record is from RefSeq and is a predicted model, not a curated record. The transcript has 3 exons. NCBI's taxonomy places the organism in Eukaryota, Metazoa, Chordata, Actinopteri, Labriformes, Labridae.